AUGAUGAGUGUGCAUAGGGACGUUCUCUGUGGAAGCAGCGCUUUCUUCGCCGAGAAGCUCUCUGACGGCGACAAUGGCCAUGGUGGCUCUCUGGUGCCAUGCGUGGAGAUCCAUGAUUGCGACGGUGCAGAGAUCUAUGUGGAGACCGUCGGGCUGAUGUACUGCGACGAGGCGAAGCAGAAGCUGCUCAAGCAGCAUGUGUCACGAGUGCUUCGCAUCAUGAAGAAGUGGCUAAAUUUGCAAGUUGCUGAAUUACUCGGUUUCCAUGCUUGUGUCAAGUCAUGCUUGGAUUAUUUGGAAGCAGUUCCUUGGGUCAGUGAGGAAGAAGAUAGCGUUGUGUCAUCGAUACGACAUCUUCAGAGCAAGUCUUACGGAGUUAGUCCUUUGCUGAAACACGUCUGA
Molecule: ribosomal RNA, 402 nt
Filed under: Triticum aestivum (bread wheat)
Lineage: Eukaryota; Viridiplantae; Streptophyta; Magnoliopsida; Poales; Poaceae
Description: partial small subunit ribosomal RNA
Source: RNAcentral